Molecule: long non-coding RNA, 2143 nt
Filed under: Nicotiana benthamiana
Lineage: Eukaryota; Viridiplantae; Streptophyta; Magnoliopsida; Solanales; Solanaceae
Description: long non-coding RNA (NBEN_LNC026890)
Source: RNAcentral
UUGUAUCCUCCUCGUACAUUCUUCUGUAACACCACCAGCGGAGCCGCCGCUGGCGAACACCACCAUCGCCAUUCGCUCACAAAAUUACACCCCAGAUUCCCCUUCUCUUCCUCUACCCAAAUCCAUUACUCCUUUCCCUCGAAUCCUACCCCAUGUCGUCAAAUAUCGAAUCAAAUUUUUCCGGCCAUGAAACAAAGUUGUCCAAAUCCGACCAAAUUUACACCACUGACUCACCUGCUCUCCCUCAUCACAAAUCUUCACUUGGUUGUCGUCAAACACCACCAGAGGUCACUGAUUUGUUAAUCUAGGAUUUUUAAGUAAGGGUGAAAUGGCGUUGCAUAAUUAUCAGUCCCUAAUGACCCUAAAAAUGAUAUUAUGUGUUUAUUUGAUUUGGAAUAAGCAUAUAAUAUCAUUUUUGGGCCAAUUUCAAGAUUAAUGCAUUAAAGCCCAAAUUCAGUAAGUUUCUUUAUUUUUUCUUUUUGGUUCUUUCAAUUGUUUGUUUCUGUCUUGACUGGAUUCUCGAUAAUCGUUUCCUGUUAGUUUAAGUUUGAUUUGUUUUCUUUGCUCUGUUUUGACUGUUGAGUUUCAGUAACUUUGAUGUUGGCAUAUCUAGUUUUGUUUCAAUUGUUAAAUUGUUAUCGAGUUGUAGUAAUUUUGAUCUUUGGUUUUGAUGGAUUCAAAUGGUAGUGUAGUUAGAUUUUAUAGUUUAGUUAAAUCUUUGGCAAUUUUGAUAAGCAAUGUGUUAUUUGGAAAAUUGAUUUUGUUUCCUGAUAAAUUUUAAUUACAAAUCUGUUUUGAAUAAUGUUUGAUUAAAUUAGUAUUUUUAGCUUAGUUUUAAUGGUUCUUUCGAUUUAGUGUCCAGUUGCAAUUCAAUUAGGCUUCAGGUUUGGAUGUAGCUGAAUAAGUCCAGUUCUAGAUUAAUCAAAGUUGUUUCUUAAUUAAGACAAAAGAGGUUUGGUGGAGUCAGUAAUUUUUAAAAAGUAAUCAAGGGUAGUUUGGGCAUGGAAAAGGACUGUUUUGUUAGGAAUAGUAAUUUCAAAAUCAAAAUAAGGGUAGUAUAUGUAUUGUAUAGGUAAAAGAAUACCCUAGGGCCUUCUAGAAGGAGGUUUUAGUGUAAGUUUCAGCUUUUUAAAAGCAGUAACUUGGAAAACAAGUCAAAAAUUGAAGGUCUAAUAGAUGAAAUCUGAAAUUAAAAGAGGAAAAAAUGUGAGUGCCAUCUAGAACAUUCUAUCCCAUUUGUUGCCUAUAAAAGGCAACCCCAAUGCCUUUAUUUACAAGUUUACACACCCCUGGAAAUUCUCAGAGUUUCCAACCAUCAAAAAUUCCGUCUCAAAGCUAUCUUUAUCCAAUUUUCCGAUCAUCAUUUUGAAAUUCAACACUGCAAAAAUCCAAAAACAGUAGAAAAACAGGAAAAGCCAAAAACAUUUUACUAUUUCAUUGCCUAUUUCAAUCAUUUUCAAGUUCCUAUUUGGUGUUCUUCAUUUUUUGCUCUAAGCUCGAGUCUUAAAAGUAUCUGGAGGUUCUUUGAUGUUUCAAUUCGAGUGAAUUUGGUCCUAUUAAGUGGGUUUCAGUUUGAGUUUAGCUUUACUAAGGAUUCAGGAGUAUUUCAAAUUGGAUUUUGAGCUUCCGUGGAUUUAUUCACGCUGGUUUUUGAGUGAUUUGCUAAGUUCUCUGUUAGCUAUUGAAUAUUAUGGACUUUAAACUUACUCCUGGGCUGUUGGUUAUUGUACACUGUUGUUGAGGUUUCCAGUUAUUGCUGCUGAUCUAUCAUUCAUUUGUUUCCAUUUUGAAUCCAGGUAUAUGACUUGAGACCUUAUGGCUGUAGCUUCACAUGAUUGGAACAUGAAAUGAAUUGAGGAUGAUCCUUUUACUGUUGGGAAUAAACCCCCUACCAAAAUAAUAUUCACGGUAAUAAAAGCAGAAUAAUAAUGUAGCACCGAGAUAUAGUAAUUAACAAGAAUAAAAGAGUAACAAUGACACCAAUAGUUUUACGUGGAAAACCCUUCUGAAUAAGGGAAAAAACCACGGCCCUGAGAGAAGCAACUGAUAUCACUAUAGUAAGUAUUUUUACACUUUGUAGGUCCGAGUAAAAUACUCCAAAGACCACUACAACACUGAAAAGAAAUAACCCUCUUUUGAUAUU